Molecule: ribosomal RNA, 455 nt
Filed under: uncultured bacterium
Lineage: Bacteria
Description: bacterial SSU rRNA
Rfam family: Bacterial small subunit ribosomal RNA
Source: RNAcentral
UACGGGAGGCAGCAGUGGGGAAUAUUGCACAAUGGGCGCAAGCCUGAUGCAGCCAUGCCGCGUGUAUGAAGAAGGCCUUCGGGUUGUAAAGUACUUUCAGUCGUGAGGAAGGUGUUAAGGUUAAUAACCUUAGCAAUUGACGUUAGCGACAGAAGAAGCACCGGCUAACUCCGUGCCAGCAGCCGCGGUAAUACGGAGGGUGCGAGCGUUAAUCGGAAUUACUGGGCGUAAAGGGCACGCAGGCGGUUAAUUAAGUUGGAUGUGAAAUCCCCGGGCUUAACCUGGGAAUGGCAUUCAAGACUGGUUAGCUAGAGUCUUGUAGAGGGGGUUAGAAUUCCAUGUGUAGCGGUGAAAUGCGUAGAGAUGUGGAGGAAUACCGGUGGCGAAGGCGGCCCCUGGACAAAGACUGACGCUCAUGUGCGAAAGCGUGGGGAGCAAACGAGGGAUUAGAUACC